RNAcentral lists this ribosomal RNA (603 nucleotides) under Triticum aestivum (bread wheat). RNAcentral describes it as "partial small subunit ribosomal RNA". The record is from RNAcentral. Lineage: Eukaryota; Viridiplantae; Streptophyta; Magnoliopsida; Poales; Poaceae.
UACACAGACGAGGAGGCUUAUUGGCGCUUGCGGGGGACCCAAAAAUGGGUUCUUAAAGGAGAUGCCUACACCACCUAUUUCCAGGCCAUCGCCAAUGGCCGCCGGCGGCGCAACACGAUUCCGUUCUUGUGGGAUGGCGAUACCCUAAUCCAGCGACCGGCCGACAUCCGGUCUCACGUGGACGACUUUUACAAAGCCCUCUUCAUGGCCUCCCUUAGGGGAGGCCUAGCCCUUGCGGGCAACUUUUGGCCGGCCGAGCAAUGCGUCACGGCGGAGGAAAAUGCCGGCCUCACGGCCCCGUUCUCUAAGCAGGAGGUCUGGUUGGCCAUUAAGGGUAUGAACCCAUCCUCCGUGCUGGGCCCUGAUGGACUUCCACUAAAGUUCUUCCAAGCCUUUUGGGAUGUGAUAAAGCUGGAGGUGCUGGCCCUCUUUGAGAAAUUUUAUAGGGGCACUUGCGAUCUCCGCCACCUAAACUAUGGGGUCAAUACUAUCAUCCCCAAGGUCCCUGGUGAAGGAAAUAUCCCUAGAGGCAAUAAUAAAGUUGUUAUUUAUAUUUCCUUACAUCAUGAUAAAUGUUUAUUAUUCAUGCUAGAAUUGUAUUAA